This 67-nucleotide transfer RNA is filed under the name Pseudolycoriella hygida. Its description in RNAcentral is "Bradysia hygida tRNA-Leu". The record is from RNAcentral. Lineage: Eukaryota; Metazoa; Arthropoda; Insecta; Diptera; Sciaridae.
ACUAUUUUGGCAGAAAAUUGUUUUAAAUUUAGAAUUUAAUUAUGUAUUAUAAUAUUUACAAAUAGUA